This 307-nucleotide ribosomal RNA is filed under the name Lactobacillus sp. 9D8. Its description in RNAcentral is "bacterial SSU rRNA". The record is from RNAcentral. Lineage: Bacteria; Bacillati; Bacillota; Bacilli; Lactobacillales; Lactobacillaceae.
AACGCUGGCGGCGUGCCUAAUACAUGCAAGUCGAACGCGCCCGAAUAGGUGCUUGGCUCUUCAUCGACUGAAGUUGUGCAACGGGCUGAGGUAACACAUGUGAGUACUGACCAUCGAGGGCGGUGCUAUACAUAAUGCGAGAAGCAUGCAUAUUACCACAUAAUACUUAUACUCGCUAUGAUACAAAGUCCGAAAUGGCCCGACGUGGUCACCUAGGCUAUGGGUCCUCCUUGCAUUAUGUGACCCGGUGGGUUAAAGCGCCUACGAACGAUGCUACCCUGAGCUAGAGAACUGAUCGCCAUUGGGC